RNAcentral lists this unclassified non-coding RNA (375 nucleotides) under uncultured Basidiomycota. Its description in RNAcentral is "sequence contains ITS1, 5.8S rRNA gene and ITS2". The stretch from base 143 to 296 matches the Rfam family "5.8S ribosomal RNA". The record is from RNAcentral. Lineage: Eukaryota; Fungi; Basidiomycota.
UAGGUGAACCUGCGGAAGGAUCAUUAGUGAAUUGCUCUUUGAGCGUUAACUACAUCCAUCUACACCUGUGAACUGUUGAUCAACUUCGGUUGAUUGCUUUACAAACAUUGUGUAAUGAACGUCAUGUUAUUAUAACAAAAAUAACUUUCAACAACGGAUCUCUUGGCUCUCGCAUCGAUGAAGAACGCAGCGAAAUGCGAUAAGUAAUGUGAAUUGCAGAAUUCAGUGAAUCAUCGAAUCUUUGAACGCAACUUGCGCUCUCUGGUAUUCCGGAGAGCAUGCCUGUUUGAGUAUCUUGAAAUCUCAACCAUUACGGUUUCUUAAUGGCUUGGAUUUGGUCGUUGCCAGGAUUCUGGCUUUGCUUAAUUUCUUUAC